This 477-nucleotide ribosomal RNA is filed under the name uncultured bacterium. Its description in RNAcentral is "bacterial SSU rRNA". It matches the Rfam family "Bacterial small subunit ribosomal RNA", at positions 328 to 793 of the family's 1533-position model. The record is from RNAcentral.
UCAGUCGACUCCUACGGGGAGGCAGCAGUGGGGAAUAUUGCACAAUGGGGGAAACCCUGAUGCAGCCAUGCCGCGUGUGUGAAGAAGGCCUUCGGGGUUGUAAAGCACUUUCAGUAGGGAGGAAGGUAGUGUAGUUAACACCUGCAUUAUUUGACGUUACCUACAGAAGAAGCACCGGCUAACUCCGUGCCAGCAGCCGCGGUAAUACGGAGGGGUGCGAGCGUUAAUCGGAAUUACUGGGCGUAAAGCGCAUGCAGGCGGCCUGUUAAGUCAGAUGUGAAAGCCCGGGGCUUAACCUCGGAAUUGCAUUUGAAACUGGCAGGCUAGAGUCUUGUAGAGGGGGGUAGGAAUUUCAGGUGUAGCGGUGAAAUGCGUAGAGAUCUGAAGGAAUACCAGUGGCGAAGGCGGCCCCCUGGACAAAGACUGACGCUCAGAUGCGAAAGCGUGGGGAGCAAACAGGAUUAGAUACCCUGGUAG